This 497-nucleotide ribosomal RNA is filed under the name uncultured bacterium. RNAcentral's name for it is "partial 16S ribosomal RNA". It matches the Rfam family "Bacterial small subunit ribosomal RNA", at positions 28 to 507 of the family's 1533-position model. The record is from RNAcentral.
GAUGAACGCUGGCGGCGUGCCUAAUACAUGCAAGUCGAGCGAACGGACUAGAAGCUUGCUUCUCUGAUGUUAGCGGCGGACGGGUGAGUAACACGUGGAUAACCUACCUAUAAGACUGGGAUGACUUCGGGAAACCGUAGCUAAUACCGGAUAAUAUUUUGAACCGCAUGGUUCAAAAGUGAAAGACGGUCUUGCUGUCACUUAUAGAUGGAUCCGCGCUGCAUUAGCUAGUUGGUAAGGUAACGGCUUACCAAGGCAACGAUGCAUAGCCGACCUGAGAGGGUGAUCGGCCACACUGGAACUGAGACACGGUCCAGACUCCUACGGGAGGCAGCAGUAGGGAAUCUUCCGCAAUGGGCGAAAGCCUGACGGAGCAACGCCGCGUGAGUGAUGAAGGUCUUCGGAUCGUAAAACUCUGUUAUUAGGGAAGAACAUAUGUGUAAGUAACUGUGCACAUCUUGACGGUACCUAAUCAGAAAGCCACGGCUAACUACGUG